Molecule: ribosomal RNA, 361 nt
Filed under: uncultured bacterium
Lineage: Bacteria
Description: bacterial SSU rRNA
Rfam family: Bacterial small subunit ribosomal RNA
Source: RNAcentral
AGGGUUCGAUUCUGGCUCAGGACGAACGCUGGCGGCGUGCCUAACACAUGCAAGUCGAACGGUUUGGUUCUCGACACUGGUUGGCUUAGGGAUAGGCCAACGAGUGCUGGGGAUCAGAUAGUGGCGGACGGGUGAGUAACGCGUGAAUGACCUGACCUAUACAGGGGGACAACACAUGGAAACGUGUGCUAAUACCGCAUAGGACUACGGAGCUACAUGGUUUUGAGGUGAAAGGAGCAAUCCGGUAUAGGAGGGGUUCGCGUCCCAUUAGCUAGUUGGUAGGGUAAAGGCCUACCAAGGCGACGAUGGGUAGCCGGACUGAGAGGUUGAACGGCCACACUGGAACUGAGAGACGGUCCAG